AGCUCGAAUUUUGAGGUUUUAGUUUCCAUACUAUUAGUGAGGAUGACUUAUUUAGAAAAUGAAAAUGCCAACUCUGGUUUUAUAAGAACGGGGAAUGAGUAACGUAUACACGCUUCCCAUCCUCCUUGUGAAAUAAUAGAUGAAGUUCCUUUCAAAUGAGAUGCUGCCUGUAAAAUUUUUGUUAGCAUUGCACUGAGAUCUCUGCAAAAUUUUAGAUAGCUAAUUUUGGGGAUAUAUUGUAGUGCAGGGAGAUAAAUUAUUGACUGAAGACUGGCUAUGUACUAGGAAUAUACAGAGUGUAUCAGUUGAAAGUUGAAACCAGGAUAAGAAAGUGAGAUGAAUUAUUUGAA
This 350-nucleotide unclassified non-coding RNA is filed under the name Hevea brasiliensis (rubber tree). Lineage: Eukaryota; Viridiplantae; Streptophyta; Magnoliopsida; Malpighiales; Euphorbiaceae. The record is from RNAcentral.